This is a small nucleolar RNA of Homo sapiens (human), 80 nucleotides long. It matches the Rfam family "Small nucleolar RNA U3". Rfam says of the family: Small nucleolar RNAs (snoRNAs) are involved in the processing and modification of rRNA in the nucleolus. There are two main classes of snoRNAs: the box C/D class, and the box H/ACA class. NCBI's taxonomy places the organism in Eukaryota, Metazoa, Chordata, Mammalia, Primates, Hominidae. The record is from Rfam.
UAGACUAUACUUUCAGGGAUCAUUUCUACAGUUUGUUACUAGAGAAGUUUCUCUGAAUGUAUAGAGCACCGAAGACAAGC